UGGGGAAUAUUGGACAAUGGGCGCAAGCCUGAUCCAGCCAUGCCGCGUGAGUGAUGAAGGCCCUAGGGUUGUAAAGCUCUUUCACCGGUGAAGAUAAUGACGGUAACCGGAGAAGAAGCCCCGGCUAACUUCGUGCCAGCAGCCGCGGUAAUACGAAGGGGGCUAGCGUUGUUCGGAUUUACUGGGCGUAAAGCGCACGUAGGCGGACUAUUAAGUCAGGGGUGAAAUCCCGGGGCUCAACCCCGGAACUGCCUUUGAUACUGGUAGUCUUGAGUGCGAGAGAGGUGAGUGGAAUUCCGAGUGUAGGGGUGAAAUUCGUAGAUAUUCGGAGGAACACCAGUGGCGAAGGCGGCUCACUGGCUCGAUACUGACGCUGAGGUGCGAAAGCGUGGGGAGCAAACCGG
Molecule: ribosomal RNA, 404 nt
Filed under: Actinomycetes bacterium
Lineage: Bacteria; Bacillati; Actinomycetota; Actinomycetes
Description: Actinobacteria bacterium partial 16S ribosomal RNA
Rfam family: Bacterial small subunit ribosomal RNA
Source: RNAcentral